GUUGGGUGCGGGGCGGCUUCGCCGGAGGAACAGGCUUCGGCGCCUCUGUCGCUCCGGAUGAUGAGCCAGCAGUCAGGUUCCACGAGACGCCACCUCCGUGGCCAGUGGUCUAGACACACAGAAAGGCGGUGCCAGGCAGCUGCCUCUCACGUUGGAGACUGGUUGUUGAACUAAGGUAGCACACUCAUAAGAUGAAAUUGAAUUUUUUUAUACUAAUAAAUUUGCGAUAUUAGUAUAGAUUUUUAUGAAGGCAUCUUUACUUUAGUGUGGUAAUCCACGGGUUUCAAGUAAUAAUAACGUUAAUUAUCAGACGUGAGUGGGCGACUCCGUACUUUCCGACCUAUCACACGAGACCAUGGAAAGCCCUCAGCCAGCUGUUUCACGUUUGCCAGGUGAUGCAAGGCCCACAGGGACCUGAGGAAUCAGUGGCAUCUGCUUUGGAAACAGAGACAUUUAUGCAUCACUGGCUUAUUGCAAUUCUGGGCAUAGAAAUUACAUGGCUUGGUUAUUUUUUAAAAGGUCAUCUAGGAGAUUUAGGAUAUGCUUAUCUCAGUUUUAAAGACUGUCAUCCAAAAUACAACAUUUAAAAUGUAGAAUAUGGGCCGUGGAUUUAGCUCAGUGGUUCCAGCGCCUGCCUUGCAAAAGUGCAAGGUUCCGAGUUCAACCCCCUGUACCAACAACAAAAAAUGCUUAUCGCUUGUCUCAGUUUUAGAGAUUGUCAUCUAAAACAUUCAAAAAUAUUUUUAAGAAAUCUGGGCUCAUUGCAAUUUGAAAAGGCUGCCAGUGUUGUUUCUGCAGAGACAAAGUUCCAUCUGUUUCUCCCGGGACAUGGAUGUUCCCAUAAAACACCAGAUUGAUCCCCCAAAUCUUGAUGGCAUGGUCAUGCUAACAUAUCUGUUGCAAUUACUAGUUACAAACCUUAUCUGAAAGAUCCAUUUUGCAGGACAUGUUUAACAUUUUAAAAGUAUAUAAAAUACUGUCCCUGCUUUCUGAUAGUUAGCAAUCCUGCUAUUGUCAUCCAUAAUAAAACUAUUAUAAUGCCUUAUCAAAAUAGAAAUCAAACAGGCUGGGAAGAUAAAUAAAAGCCAAUUGAAAACUAAUACUAAAAUACAUCCAACUGAGUAAAAGUCCCCUCAGGGUUUCAAAAAGAAAUUGACAAUAUAUGAUUCUAAAUUUAUGAGAGAUAGGAAAGGCCAAGAAAAGCCAAGACGUUGUUAAAGAACAAAAUAAUAAGAGAAGCUAUACUUUGAAUAUAGAGGCUCACCCUAAAGUGACGGAAUUAAGGCAGUACUACUGAGCCCGGAACAGCAGACAGACCAGUGGAAAAGAUCAGAGUCCCAGUCUGGAGCCUCCUGUGUGGGCGUGUGCUCUCUGGCAAAGAACGUAAUGUUAAGUAUACGGGUAGAGCCAGGCACGGUGGCACAACCCUGGAAUCUCAGCACUCUUACACCUCACCUUCCCAAAGGACUGCAAGUUCAAGCCUAGCCUGGGAAAAUUAAUGACUUCAGAUCUGUCUCAAAGUAAAAAAAAAAUAAUAAUAAUAAGGACUGGAGGUGUAGCUCAGUAUGAAAGCCCUGGAUUCAACGCCCAGCACAGAAAAAGGAGCAAACAACAUUUAAAAGUAAAUGGCACUAGGUCAUUGUGGUAGCCAUGUGAAAGAAAUUUUAAAUUGGCAAUUUUUUAUUUGAAGACAUUUUCAGUGCUUUUAAGUAAAUAUUAAUAGGAUUGUGUCAUAUUUCGAUACAUUGAAGCAUACCUUAUACUAGCCACAAAAACAAUUUAAGAAUGUAGCUUUAAAUAGGAAUGUUAAAUACUUUUAUAAGUGAUAUUUAUGACCUUGAGUAGGGAAAGAUUUAAGCAGAUGGCAAAAAGCAGCAACUACAAAGGAAGAUACUAAUAAAUUCUUAAUUUAAAUUAGUUCAAUUUAUCAAAAGAAACCAUUAAAGUGAAGAGGCCAGUCAGAGUAGAUAUAUAUAACACACAUAACUGGCACAAGAGUCUCAUCCAAAAUAUGUAAAGUAGUCCUAUAGAUCAGUAAGAGACUGAAAAUCUAAUAAAAAGUGAGUCUAGAACCUGAACUCUUGAUUUGCAAAAGGUACCCAAAUGGCAUCUUAAGCAUGUAAAUCCAGAUUCAGCUCACAAUAAGAUACUACCCUCCUGAAUCGCCAGAGUUAAAGACUGACAAUUUCAAGUGUUGGCAAGGAUAUGGAGCAGUGAGAACUCUUUACUUCCAGCUGGGAGAAUAUUGUGCUUUCAUUGUACUCCAGCUCUAAAGAUGAGCAUAUUCUAGGAGAGCACAGGUACAUCAAAAGACAUGUACCUGAACGGAGGUAGCAUUAUUAGGCAUAGGGGGGGAAAAAAAAAACUUGAAAAAAAUCUCAUGAAAUACAGUUGCCAACUAUAUCCACUGUUGUCACUUAGCACUACCUGGUGUCAUCUGGUGACAUCAGGGCUGCUAGCCAAGCUACUUUUCUCAAUUCACGAUUUCCAUCCGAACUGAGCAAAAAGCCCUGGGCUGAUUGACAACCCUCCCCCAAUUCCAUGUUGCCCAGGCUGGCCUUGAACUCCUAAGGCUCAAGGGCUGCUCCUGUCUCAGCCUCCCGACAAACCGGACUACAGGCAGAUUCCAGUGCUUCCAGCUGAUGGACCAUUACUUUCAUCAGCUUAAAUUCUGGUUCCAGGUUUGUUUCAUUUUGAAGCAGAGAGCUAUAUUCCAGCUAAAAUUUCAAAAUACUGGUAUAUCAUUAGUGACUGCAUAAAAAGUAAGAAUAGAAUGGGGCAUAUAGUUUGUAAUAUGAAAAGUCUAGGUUUUAUGUGAAAUUUCCCCUCUCGAGAGUUUAUCGUGUUUUAUAAAUUUAAAGCCCACGGGGCCAUUCAAAGUGAAGACAGCUCUAGAGCCCGAGGCCAGUGCUGCGUGCACCCCGUUUCAUGCCCCCCCCCCACGACACAGCAGAGCGCGCCACGGGCCUCAGGCAGAUGGGCUGUUUCCUCGCGAGAUUUAGAGAAGCCUGGAGACCUCCUGCUGCUCGCCUUGCACGAGCGUCUCUCCCCACCACACAGUCCAGGCUGCGCUUGAGUCUCGGAGACGUUCAUCCUGGGUUUGUUAGAUACAGAUUUCCAGGGCAGAAAGCGGCCGCCACCCAGGGUCUCCUGCCGGCCACCCGAGAGGACGGAGCAGAUGACCGGUGCUCUGGGGAGGACUCGUCACUGCUGGGCCGGGGGAAGAGGAGCAGGAGGCUGGGUCUCCCGGACUUCUCAGAGCCCUGGCUGGUUCCCGGGGACAGCCCCUCGGCACGGUGUGACAUUCCUCAGAAGAUGCAUUUUACCUGCUGAAAUGGCCUGGGAAUUUUUUUCUCCUUCCUUAGAGGUAACUGCAGGGAAGAGACCGACUUUGUACCAAAGCAUUUGUUACAGUUCUCCUCUACUAUGAGGUAUGCAGAACGCAGGGAUUGUGUCCAACGGUGACGAAAAAUGGAAGUGCAGACAGAAGGGUGCGCGUCCUGGAACUCCAGACACGGCUUGCGUACAGCAGCGUCGGGGAAGUCCGGUUUAGCCUCAAUUUGAUAACAUGAACCCAUGAACCCAUGAACCACGGACUUGGGCCUUUUCCUGGCUUCUCCCACCUGACCAACAGCCUUGAGCCGCAGCCUCCUUCCGAAGGCGCGCCCUGAGGUUCCUGUCGCCCACCGCCUUUGUCACCUCCCUGCCUCCCGAGACCGUCACACAGAGGGACUGCCCUGCAGAGACCAUCACCCGGGCACACACUACCCUGGCUGCAGGAAGGAGUUUGUUCGCAAGCGCCGGCACACAGCUGCUUCCUUGUACUUCCUGCGGCCCUCGCAGUUGGCAGAUCUAAGAAAUGUGAG
This 3866-nucleotide long non-coding RNA is filed under the name Heterocephalus glaber (naked mole-rat). RNAcentral describes it as "lncRNA (ENSHGLG00000044771.1)". The record is from RNAcentral. Lineage: Eukaryota; Metazoa; Chordata; Mammalia; Rodentia; Bathyergidae.